UGACCACGUUGAUAUGUAUAGUU
RNAcentral lists this non-coding RNA (23 nucleotides) under Arabidopsis thaliana (thale cress). Lineage: Eukaryota; Viridiplantae; Streptophyta; Magnoliopsida; Brassicales; Brassicaceae. The record is from RNAcentral.